GGGCCCGCACAAGCGGUGGAGCAUGUGGUUUAAUUCGAUGAUACGCGAGGAACCUUACCAGGGCUUAAAUGUAAGUUGCAUGGAUCAGAGAUGAUCCUUUCUUCGGACCACUUACAAGGUGCUGCAUGGUUGUCGUCAGCUCGUGCCGUGAGGUGUCAGGUUAAGUCCUAUAACGAGCGCAACCCCUAUCUUUAGUUGCUAACAGGUUAAGCUGAGGACUCUAGAGAGACUGCCGGUGCAAACCGAGAGGAAGGUGGGGAUGACGUCAAAUCAUCACGGCCCUUACGUCCUGGCUACACACGUGCUACAAUGGUAGAGACAAAGGGCAGCCACCAGGCGACUGG
RNAcentral lists this ribosomal RNA (344 nucleotides) under uncultured bacterium. Its description in RNAcentral is "bacterial SSU rRNA". It matches the Rfam family "Bacterial small subunit ribosomal RNA", at positions 917 to 1264 of the family's 1533-position model. The record is from RNAcentral.